UUUUCUUUUGUAUGUUCAGUUCGACAUAUGGUGGUUCUUCAGAUCAACAUUGUGUGCUUUUUUCAAUUCAUCCUGCGGGUGAAAAAAGGAGCUCCCUUUUAGUCCAAAUGGAUCCAAAAAAUGGGUGAUGCAUUACAGUUCAAGACUAUUCUGUUGGUUUAGGCUCCAUCUUGCUAGUUUGGCAAACAUUUUUUGCAUCUACUUGCGGAUGGCUUCCAUUUUGUGCUCCCAUGGGUGUUUGUUCUUAUUCCUGAAAGAAAGAAAAUAAUCUAUUGCAUGUGAUAGUUCAUCUGAUUUGUAUGAAUUUUUUACCUAUUUUGCUCCAUUUUUUCCCUUGCAGAUCAUGAUCUUGAGAGGCUCGCUGUCGAGACUGAAGGUAAAUUCCAUUUUCCAAUGGUUCUUUCAGUAGUACUGUUUCAGUCCAAGUUUUCCCAAGACUAGUACUGGUAAUUGUUAUUUCACUAUGUAUUCUUUCCUCAGUCCAUGAAACAUGGGAAAAGUUUCGAUCAUGUCAGAUAUAUAGUUCAAUUUUAUAUAUCAUAAGAAGAAAAGAACAUGUUUUCUAUACGAGAAAAUCAAAAACAUUAUUAGCAAUUCACUAUGUAUUCUACCGUCAGUUCUGUGUGUGUUAGAGAGAGGGUUCGGUGUCUCAUUGUUUUCACUUGCCCCGAAAAAAAUAUAUUCUGUUGCAGAUUAGGAACAUUGUAUUUAGAUUUUUUUAAACAAAGAACUAAUCAGUUCAUAUAAGUUCAAAUGACAAAUCGUCGAAAGUUCAAUCAAAAGCUCUCACCACUUUCCUUUCUAUUUCUUAAUGAUUGUACGGCAUUUCAAGCAUUGAGCAAAAGGGAUUAGUAUAAAUUGCAGAAGUAGUUGCAGGAUGCUUAAGUUCUUUUGACUUUUUUUUCUCUCAUUCUACAUGUACUGACGAGUUGUCUCAUUUUUUCUGGUUUCAAAAGUAGAAGGGGUACAUGUAGAUGCUGGACUACUCAGGGGUCAGGGCCUUUGCCGCUGAUGUUGUGUUUUGUUAGGUCAACACGAAGUACUAGAAUUAUUUUGCAGGAAGCGAAGGCAGUGAGAAGAUGUUCCAGGUGACACGCCCUUCCAUCAAAACAAAAAGUUCAAACAUAGCAAAAAGUCACAGAAAAGGAUGUGAACAUAGUAUACUCCCAUGGUUGUAUGAGUAAACAUACACUAAGUGUAGGCGUUCACCAUGUGCUUUAUCAUCAGUUCAAAAAAAAGCUCUGUGUGUGCUACUGAAAUUGACAUGGUUUAGUUUGCUUUUACUUGUAUGCUACUGAUAGAUCAACAAUAUUUGCUUGUGUACUGAAGUGACUAAUUUGAACCACACUGCUUGUGUACUGAUGUUGUUUGCUUUUGUACACCUGCUUAUAUUUUUUGUGGGAGUCCCAAGUAUAAUUGUUUAAAAAGUACAAAUGAAUGUCUGCAAAAAAGAAAAGAAAAAAAUAUUUGUCGCAUCUCAACAUAAAAAGAAAAUAAAAAUUCAGUAGAUCAAAGGUGAGAAAACAAGAUGUUUAGAAUAAAAAGGAACUUAAAAGAAUACACAGGAAGUUCCCAGUGUGAAAAGAACAUUACGAUCGUGCAAUAUAAAAU
This 1611-nucleotide long non-coding RNA is filed under the name Triticum aestivum (bread wheat). RNAcentral describes it as "long non-coding RNA (TAES_LNC011889)". Lineage: Eukaryota; Viridiplantae; Streptophyta; Magnoliopsida; Poales; Poaceae. The record is from RNAcentral.